This 101-nucleotide microRNA precursor is filed under the name Podarcis lilfordi (Lilford's wall lizard). Lineage: Eukaryota; Metazoa; Chordata; Lepidosauria; Squamata; Lacertidae. The record is from RNAcentral.
AACUAAGUUUGUUAUUGCUAUGAGCUUUCGUGUGCAUGCACACUUCUUCAGAUACCUGAUGCAUGCACACGAAAGCUCAUAGCAAUAACAAAUUUAGUUGG